Bradysia coprophila is the source of this 192-nucleotide long non-coding RNA. NCBI's taxonomy places the organism in Eukaryota, Metazoa, Arthropoda, Insecta, Diptera, Sciaridae. The record is from RefSeq and is a predicted model, not a curated record.
GAAUUGCAUUCACAUUUGAGAUACUCAAUAUUCCAUUUUUAGCCUUCUUCUUGCUAUAAAGUUCCACUGAAAGCGGAAAUGUUUUUAUUUGAUUACAAAUAAUUCAAAUAACUGGCUACAUAACACUAAUGACAAUGGCGCCCCGUCCCAUGUAACACAAGUAACGUCAAAUUUGUGGAACUUAUUGAAUGU